Molecule: ribosomal RNA, 115 nt
Organism: Danio rerio (zebrafish)
Lineage: Eukaryota; Metazoa; Chordata; Actinopteri; Cypriniformes; Danionidae
Source: Ensembl
UUACACAGCCAUAUCACCUACAGCCCAAGACUGAUUACUCACUGAAGCUAAGCAGGGCUGAGCCUGGUCAGUACCUGGAUGGGAGACCACAUGGGAAACUGGGUUGCUGUUGGAA